UUCACAUUGUGGUUUGGGAGAAACCACAAAACAGCAUAUCAUUAAAUAUUCAGCAUAUGUCCUCACUUCUCUUUGUCAGGAACUGAGUACUCUAUUGGAGUGUACUCAAAGUGCAAAGUCAGUGUGUUUUCCCUAAUAACACACCUGUGUUCUAAAUAGAGUUGGCUUCUAUUUAAGGAGAAGCAAACUGAAGUCACAUCUUGCUAUAAAUUCUUUGUUUUGUUACAGUGCAUUGCAAUUGCAAGCAAACCAUACCAAGUCCAAGAAGUUUUGAAUUGAUGCAUUAACUCUUUUUGAUCAAAUCAAUAAUUCAUAUUGUUCACAAUUUUAACUGAUAAAAAUUAAGUCUGCAAAUAUUCUCACAUUUCUUUUUGAGGCCAACGCUUUGCAUUCUGUGAACUAAGAACUCUUUAUGGAGUCAGAGAACUGGAUUCUAGUUUCCGGUUUGCUGCUAACUAGCUAUGACAUACUGGUCAAGUCACUAUAAGUUCACAAUCACUCAGUUUCCUAACCUGUAAAGUGAGGUGUUUUAUGAGACACUGCCAAGCAUCUUUCCAACUUUCAAAUUCUUGUUCAGUUCAUGAAACUGUAGUCGAACACAAUUUUGUUUCUGUGACUACACAAACAAUAUUCAAAUAUUGAUAAGUUAGAGGUAUUUGCAGGUCUUAUGGAAUGUAAAUCAACGAGUAUAUCAUGAUUUAGGUCUAGAUCAAAAAUAUUUCAAGGCUUCUAUCAGUGUCAUGGGAAAAUAAAUUUUGGCUAGAUUCAAAGACUACAAUAAUGCUACUUCACUCAGUCAUGAUUUGAUUUGUUGAAUAGUUGAACUCCAUCUGGUCCUGUGGAGGUUUUCUAGUUUAAGAGUCUCUAAAGGGCAAAUUUCUUGUCAUUAAAAUCAGCAGAACUAUAUAUUAAAAAAAGUGAAAGGGAUUAAAGGGGAAAGGAGAGAAAAUGAGUGGGAAAAAUCAGAGAAGCUGACAGAACAUGAGAGACUCCUAACUCUGGGAAAUGAACAAGGGGUAGUGGAAGGAGAGGUGGGUGGGGGGACAGGGUGACUGGGUGAUGGGCACUGAGGGGGGCACUUGACAGGGUGAGCACUGUGUGUUAUACUAUAUGUUGGUAAAUCAAACUCCAAUAAAAAAUAUACCAAAAAAAUCAGUAGAACUAUUGUGCCUAUGGGAAAAUUGCUGAUCUAAAAUUUCUCAGGACUUUUCUCCAAACUCCGUCUGUUAGAGGUAGAGGAGGAAUAGACAGUUUUGGAGAUUAGAGCCUUGAAAAUGGAACAAAAAAAAAAAAAAAAAAAA
Molecule: long non-coding RNA, 1301 nt
Filed under: Canis lupus familiaris (dog)
Lineage: Eukaryota; Metazoa; Chordata; Mammalia; Carnivora; Canidae
Description: lncRNA (ENSCAFG00000053667.1)
Source: RNAcentral